This 460-nucleotide ribosomal RNA is filed under the name uncultured bacterium. Its description in RNAcentral is "partial 16S ribosomal RNA". It matches the Rfam family "Bacterial small subunit ribosomal RNA", at positions 338 to 795 of the family's 1533-position model. The record is from RNAcentral.
CCUACGGGUGGCAGCAGUGAGGAAUAUUGGUCAAUGGACGGAACUCUGAACCAGCGACGCCGCGUGAAGGACGACUGCUCUAGGAGUUGUAAACUUCUUUUGUACCGGAGUAAAAUGAUGCACGAGUUGAUUUUUGAGCGUACUUUACGAAUAAGCAUCGGCUAACUCCGUGCCAGCAGCCGCGGUAAUACGGAGGAUUCGCGCGUUAUCCGGAUUGAUUGGGGUUAAAGGGAGCGUAGGUGGGUUGUUAAGUCAGCUGUGAAAGUACGAGGCUCAAACGUGGGGCUGCAGUGGAUACUGUAGGACUAGAGUACAGAUGAGGUAGGCGGAAUGCGUAGUGUAGCGGUGAAAUGCAUAGAUAUUACGAAGAACACCGAUUGCGAAGGCAGCUUGCUAGACUGUAACUGACAUUGAUGCUCGAAAGUGUGGGGAUCAAACAGGAUUAGAUACCCCUGUAGUC